This 600-nucleotide long non-coding RNA is filed under the name Salvia miltiorrhiza (redroot sage). RNAcentral's name for it is "long non-coding RNA (SMIL_LNC007030)". The record is from RNAcentral. Lineage: Eukaryota; Viridiplantae; Streptophyta; Magnoliopsida; Lamiales; Lamiaceae.
CUUCGGAGCGAAAAACUGAUUCAAGAUCGCGCAUUUUCACUCUCUUUUGAGAAGUUUCGGAGGUUUCUUUGAUUUCCAUACUACACCUUUUCUGUUCCAACAAAAUCAAAACCAAAACCUCGAAUUCUGAAAUUAAAAUAAAUAUCAAUAUCAAAUAUAAAGAAACCGAAUGUAGUUAAAAAAAAUCCAACCUUUGAUUCAGAUCUGUGCUCUGUUGGAGACUGAUUCACACCACCCAUGAAAUGCUGUUUUGUUUUUGGAAAAAGAUCUAUCAAUUUAAUUUCAAGAUUCGGUAGUCGCUCUUUCUGAGCAAAACCUCGAAUUCAAACUGAAAGCUUCCAGCUUUAAUCAGUCUGCCACGUCAAAAUUAAAAGAGGGAAGAGGAGAAAAAGAAGGCAGGUAGACUGAAGGUUUCUUGAUUAAGGUAUGUCAAUGGCGAAAUUUGAAAAUUAGUCAACCGGUUUAGGAGUUAGGACUAUCCCUCUCCCACUCAAGAUAUUUGGAUUUGAAUAUCAGAGGGAGCGCGCUGAGAAAAAAAAGCGCUUCGAUUUAUUUGUUUAAUUGCGACAUUUUUAAUUUUUACUUGUUUUUGCCUUUUUG